RNAcentral lists this ribosomal RNA (497 nucleotides) under uncultured bacterium. Its description in RNAcentral is "partial 16S ribosomal RNA". It matches the Rfam family "Bacterial small subunit ribosomal RNA", at positions 28 to 507 of the family's 1533-position model. The record is from RNAcentral.
GAUGAACGCUGGCGGCGUGCCUAAUACAUGCAAGUCGAGCGAACAGAUGAGGAGCUUGCUCCUCUGACGGUAGCGGCGGACGGGGGAGUAACACGUGGAUAACCUACCUAUAAGACUGGGAUAACUUCGGGAAACCGGAGCUAAUACCGGAUAAUAUAUUGAACCGCAUGGUUCAAUAGUGCGAUUAGGUUGUUGUGGCACUUAUAGAUGGAUCCGCGCCGCAUUCGCUAGUUGGUGAGGUAACCGCUUACCAAGGCGACGAUGCGUAGACGGCCCCAACGGGGGGUUGGCCACCCUGGAAGUGAGACACGGUCGCGACUCCUACGGGAGGCAGCAGUAGGGAAUCUUCCGCAAUGGGCGAAAGCCUGACGGAGCAAAGCCGCGUGAGUGAUGAAGGUCUUCGGAUCGUAAAACUCUGUUAUUAGGGAAAACCAAAUGUGUAAGUAACUAUGCACGUCUUGACGGUACCUGAUCAGAAAGCCACGGCUAACUACGUG